UGGUGGAGUGAUUUGUCUGGUUAAUUCCGUUAACGAACGAGACCUCGACCUGCUAAAUAGUCCGGCUCGCCCCUCGGGGCGGGGUCCGCGGCUUCUUAGAGGGACUAUCGGUGCGUAGCCGAUGGAAGUUCGAGGCAAUAACA
RNAcentral lists this ribosomal RNA (143 nucleotides) under uncultured eukaryote. RNAcentral's name for it is "partial 18S ribosomal RNA". It matches the Rfam family "Eukaryotic small subunit ribosomal RNA", at positions 1299 to 1458 of the family's 1831-position model. The record is from RNAcentral.